Molecule: ribosomal RNA, 776 nt
Filed under: uncultured bacterium
Lineage: Bacteria
Description: bacterial SSU rRNA
Rfam family: Bacterial small subunit ribosomal RNA
Source: RNAcentral
CAGGGCUUCGGCUCUGAGUGGCGAACGGGUGAGUAACGCGUUGGUGACCUGCCCCAAAGCGGGGGAUAACAGUCCGAAAGGAUUGCUAAUACCGCAUGUGGUCCCCGGAUUUAGAAGCCGGUGACUAAAGCAGCAAUGCGCUUUGGGAGGGACCUGCGUCCCAUCAGCUAGUUGGUGAGGUAACGGCCCACCAAGGCUACGACGGGUAGGGGACCUGAGAGGGUGGCCCCCCACAAUGGAACUGAAACACGGUCCAUACACCUACGGGUGGCAGCAGUAGGGAAUAUUGCACAAUGGGCGAAAGCCUGAUGCAGCAACGCCGCGUGCGCGAUGAAGGUCUUCGGAUCGUAAAGCGCUUUUCUGGGAGAUGAGAAAGGACAGUAUCCCAGGAAUAAGUCUCGGCUAACUACGUGCCAGCAGCCGCGGUAACACGUAGGAGGCGAGCGUUAUCCGGAUUCACUGGGCGUAAAGCGCGUGCAGGCGGUUCGGUAAGUUGGGCGUGAAAUCUCCCGGCUCAACUGGGAGAGGUCGUUCAAUACUACCGAACUUGAGAGCGAUAGAGGAAAAUGGAAUUCCCGGUGUAGUGGUGAAAUGCGUAGAUAUCGGGAGGAACACCAGUGGCGAAAGCGAUUUUCUGGAUCGUUUCUGACGCUCAGACGCGAAAGCUAGGGUAGCAAACGGGAUUAGAGACCCCGGUAGUCCUAGCAGUAAACGAUGUAGACUUGGCGUCGGUGGGGUAAAAUCCGUCGGUGCCGAAGCUAACGCGAUAAGUCUAC